GACGAACGCUGGCGGCGUGCUUAACACAUGCAAGUCGAACGGAAAGGCCCUGCUUUUGUGUGGUGCUCGAGUGGCGAACGGGUGAGUAACACGUGAGUAACCUGCCCUUGACUGUGUGAUAACUUCAGGAAACUGGUGCUAAUACCGGAGAGGAGCUCCUGCUGCAUGGGGGGGGUUGGAAAUUUUAGGCGGUUGUGGAUCGACUCGCGGCUUAUCAGCUUGUUGGUGGGGUAGUGGCUUACCAAGGCUUUGACGGGUAGCCGGCCUGAGAGGGUGACCGGCGACCUUGGGCCUGAGAUACGGACCAGACUCCUACGGGAGACAGCAGUGGGGAAUAUUGCACAAUGGGCGGAAGCCUGAUGAAGAAACGCCGCGUGCGGGAUGACGGCCUUCGGGUUGUAAACCGCUUUCGCCUGUGACGAAGCGUGAGUGACGGUAAUGGGUAAAGAAGCACCGGCUAACUACGUG
Molecule: ribosomal RNA, 468 nt
Filed under: uncultured bacterium
Lineage: Bacteria
Description: partial 16S ribosomal RNA
Rfam family: Bacterial small subunit ribosomal RNA
Source: RNAcentral